CUUAUUAGUAGCCCCCCUAACCCUUUCCAAUUAUUUUUCUACCUACCCCUUCCCCCAUCCAUAUUAGUAGCCCCCCUAAACCCUUCCAAUAAUUUUUCUACCUUUGUCCCCCCUUUUAUCUGACAUAGCAGGGGGACCUCUGGACGUCUUGCAGGCGCAGUGUCAGACUGAGCGCCGGGUAGUCACGUGACACUCGGCAAGGGCCGGUGCAAGGAUUUUUGCCGACCUAGGCAAAAGUAAAGUUUGCCGCCCCCCCAUGUGACAUCACAAUGCCCCAUCCAUAUGAUCUGCCAUGUUAACUAACGCCAGUGCUGGAGUGCCGCCGUGGUUACAUUAAAAGGCUUGCAGGCACAGGCAAUAGACACCAGAACCACUGCAUUAAGCUGCAGUGGUUCUGGGGGCUAUAGUGUUUCUUUAAUGUGAGGUAAAUUAGAGAUUAGUGCCACGAAUAAUAUACUAGAUUGCCUACUUACAACCAGAUGAGGAUGAUGAUGGGCUCUAGCUGCAGUCUGGCUCCACUGCUCUGGUGUAGAACAGGCUCUCUGGAGGCUGUUUGUAACUGUGGUCACAAAAAUCAAUGUUCUGGGAGAACGGGAAGCAGCUCCAUUUUUUGGGGGCCCAAGGUCUGGGUCCCAGGGUCCACCUUCAUGUUCCACCUUCAGUGUGCACUUCCUGUUAGUCCGGCCGGGUACAGGAGACAGAUGCUCCCUGUACCCGCGGACCAUACAGGGCUCGGCCACGCUACAGAGAGCUGAGCGCUUCCCUCCUGUCAGCCCCUCUCCUCAGGCUGCGCCCGGGCCGUGCGCCCUCAUGGACGCACCGACCGGGCAAAGCUGCAGCCGCCUGAGGCUCUCUACAGAGCGCUCAGGCGGCUGUAGCAUGAGGGGGACCAGCGGAGCUGGGGGGAUUUCCCCGUAACCUGUCCCCCCGCAUGAUUUGCUGGGGUGGAUGUGUCCCCCCAUCCUCCCCGGUUCCUACGCCCAUGCAGGUAUGUACUAUUAACUACAAGGAAAACGAUCAAUCUUGCUGCUUGCGUGACAAACUCUGUAUAAAUGCUAGCCCUGAAAAUAUACUCACUGAGAACUUGUUAAGCACUCUUUCAUGUCUGUGUCUUAAUUUGCUAAACAAGAACUCCCGUCAAUUGAUGUGGUGACUGGAGAAUUGAGAAUCGAGGGGAGUUGAGUCCAGAACAGCAUUAACCCUUUCAACGGCAACUCUUUUCCUCACAGGCAAACAGGCUCUGAAGUUGGUGGUUUGCUUCUCCAUCACUGGACGUAGCUUUGCACAAAGGUAUAAAAAUGUUUCCUCUGACAUUCUGAAAUUGUGCACCCACUGUGUGUGUGUGAAAAUCCAGGGACGGUCAUAUCCCACCACUCAUUGGCAUGACGGAGAGCCCAAAUGACUGGUCGGCGGCGCUGCUUUGACAAAAGGAGAAGCAUCAAAAAAAAAAAAAAAGACAGAUGUGGCGGAACAGACCUUGCCACGUGUUCUUGGAGGGGGCUGCUUGCCCGCCUCCUACCAUCUGAUUAUGGCCCUGGGAUAUAUGGCAUUUGAAAACACUAUUUAUGCCCUGUGACAGAACUGGAGAUUGUGCACAAAUAUGACUAUUGUCCAUAUUUUUUAUGAUUCCCUUCAUUUGUUGCACUGUUCCUCAUGUGUUUCAUCUGUUGGUUCGGCUGGAUAGACUACCAGACAAACUGUGGAGUUACUGGGUGACUCAUGGUACAUGGUGAGAACAAUGGAUGGCGGCCAUUUUAACUCACAGACACUGUUUGGACUUUUCUACACGGUGCCAUCUCUAGAGAACAGGGGACACAUUUAACAGUAAUUAUUUUUCAUAUAGCCUGUAUAUGUUCUGCGGAAUCUGCAUUAAACCGUAUCUUCCAAACUACUUAACAGAUCUGGGUGAAUUUUGGAUAUGUGGUUCACCCAGAUCCCCGGGUUCUGAUGAUAUAUUUUUAUGGUGUUAUUGCAUGUAUUGGGGUCCCUGUGAUAUGUUUUAUAAUACUGUAUUUACGAAAUGGAUUGAAAAGAAUGUGUUCAUAGGAG
Pelobates cultripes (western spadefoot toad) is the source of this 2049-nucleotide non-coding RNA. NCBI's taxonomy places the organism in Eukaryota, Metazoa, Chordata, Amphibia, Anura, Pelobatidae. The record is from the annotation of a GenBank genome assembly.